GACGGGGGGAGCAAGCGUUGUUCGGAUUUACUGGGCGUAAAGGGCGUCUAGGCGGAUUGCCAAGUCAUGUGUGAAACCCCCCGGCUCAACCGGGGACCGGCACGUGAUACUGGUAGUCUUGAGUACGAAAGAGGGAAGCGGAAUUCCUGGUGUAGCGGUGAAAUGCGUAGAUAUCAGGAAGAACACCGGUGGCGAAGGCGGCUUUCUAGUUCGAUACUGACGCUGAAGCGCGAAAGUGUGGGGAG
RNAcentral lists this ribosomal RNA (245 nucleotides) under uncultured bacterium. RNAcentral's name for it is "partial 16S ribosomal RNA". It matches the Rfam family "Bacterial small subunit ribosomal RNA", at positions 524 to 768 of the family's 1533-position model. The record is from RNAcentral.